UUUCAAUGCGCUUGUCAAUGA
RNAcentral lists this non-coding RNA (21 nucleotides) under Caenorhabditis elegans. Lineage: Eukaryota; Metazoa; Nematoda; Chromadorea; Rhabditida; Rhabditidae. The record is from RNAcentral.